This is a long non-coding RNA of Cuculus canorus (common cuckoo), 4411 nucleotides long. RefSeq lists it as uncharacterized. The record is from RefSeq and is a predicted model, not a curated record. The transcript has 3 exons. Lineage: Eukaryota; Metazoa; Chordata; Aves; Cuculiformes; Cuculidae.
CCCCUGUAAAGCUGGUGCAAUCCAGCCAUUGCGUGUUAAUUGGCUUUGGCAGAAGCUUUAGCUCAAAAGCUGCUGUCUGCUUUCCUUCCUAGCCUUUAGCACUUUGUACCGUGCUUGUUCCAUGCCUAGCCCAAGGCUUCUGCUCAACCUGCUGGAAAGGCAAGGCAGGAGAGGGGUGUAAAGCUUAACUGAUCCUUGUGAAAGAUUGAUUGGUGCUGCAAACUGCUCAUAAGUCUGUUUGUCCUGCUUACCACCUAAAUAGUCUGAUAAUCUAGUCCUGUUACUGCUCUCUGGCUUGAUUUGAGUUUCUUUGGAGCUGUGCAGGGAGGCUUCCAGCACCCAGGUGAGGCAUCUGGACCAUCACUGAACUGUGGGGCCCUCGGCAUGGGCGCUUCAACACAGUUUCCCAUGCACUGGAGAGUAACGAAUGGUUCUGCAUCAGUCAUUGUGACCCAUACUUGGGGAAAAUGCCUUAGGAAGAUAGUUUGAUGCUUUUGGCUUAUAACACAUUGUGGGAAUAUAACAGAAGAUUGAUAAGGAGGAUUGCAGACACGCUCAACUGACUUGCAGCUGGGAUGUAGAGAAACACUGACAUGGUACUAAUCAUUGCUUAGUCUUGUGUGCUUGAGGAGUACAACCUUUGUGUUUAGGUAACACAGACCUGUGACAAACUCAGAGGCACCCUAGUAAACAUCCUUGAGAUUCCUGCCCGGCUGUAGGGAAGAUCAAAACACUGUAGAAACUGAUGCCUGUGUGAAUCCCCGAUCCAUGGGCAAAUCCAGGAGGUUUGGUAUUGUUCUGUCUAGCAAGAAUGGAGCCCUGCAGAGCCACUGUUCCCACUUAGGGGCCUCUGCCUUGGUAUUGCUUUGGAGAUCCCCCUGUUCAGGAGGUAAUGGAAAUAACCCUUUGCAUUUCAUCCAUGCUUUGAGGCUAUUCCUGCAUCCUACCUGUGUUGGCUCACGUGUCAAUAAUGUACAAAGCUCAUUAAAGCACACAAUCAUUACAGUACCACAGCACACUGCCUUCUAUGGAGCAUUUGGAGUCCGCUGCGCUGAUAAAGCACAAACCGAGAGACAUAAUAUACAUCUACUCUAAGGCGCUUUUAAGAAAUGAGGGAAAAAUCCUAGAGAACAGGAAAAAGACAGGAAGGAGGCUUUAACUGCAGUAUUACUAGAAGUACAUGCUUAGAAACAUAACUUUGAGUGUUAAAGCAGAUCUUGUUCAAUUUUUUAUUAAUCUGUGGACAUUCCCCUCCAAUGAAACAAUUGAAGCAACUUUUCUGAACAGCCUGUGAAUCAGCCACUCGUGCCGAGCAGUCUGUGACCGGUCACAGCGACUGUGUAGGCUCUGCUCUGGGUCACCCAGUCCCCUCGCACACAGGACCUGCAGCCCACCGUGGCCCCUGCCAUGGUGAAAGUAAGAGUUGCUCUUUUCUGAUACAUUAACACCUUGAAAAUGGUGUUAUGUGAGCAGAGUGGGUGUGUAAUCCCACCUACGCAGCUGAAAAAGACCCUCAACUCUUGCUUAAGUGUUACCAAUGCACUUUGCUGUGCUCACCACCCCACCCGUAGUGCCAAGAGCAUAAUGCAGUUUGAGAACAAGCUCCCUUUGACUUGUACCCGUUAUUUCUUAAUAGCAAAUGAAUUGGUGGGAAAAUUACUUGCUAGAAGUGAUAUAGAAAUUAAGGACACGGUUUUGUAUCUAUCUGCGUGAGGCAAGGAAACAUGCCAAGUUCUGCACAGGCUCCUGAGAACUAAAUGAGCAUCCAAGUGCUCACAGUAUCAAAGCAGCAUCAAAGGAUCUCUAGAGAUGAGCAAGCUUCAUAAACAAGCAUAAACAAAGAAGCUCAGGGAUGUCUGAGAAAGCUCAUCAGUAUAUAAAUAGUUCAUUUUGAAAUCCUCUAUUAUAAAACACCAUCAGAAAAGGGCUGAUGUGUGAAUGGUGAGGUUGAGGUCUCUUGUGAUUAUCAGGGAUCUAAAAGAUAACAGGGGAUUGCAGUGUAGGGCAUCUGCAGUGGAUAAUACAGCUGUACUGGGAAAUAAAGCCCAGGAAUGGACAGUGUGGUCCUGGGCAGGGUGGCCAGAAGUCUGGAGAGUCAAACUUGGCACUGUAAGGCACCACAGGCUUUUCUUGCCAUUCUCUAGGAGAAUCUAACCAAGCUGGAAUCAUUAAUCUCUCUCCAUGUGGCAAUUCAGAACCUUUUGAGUCACUUACACCUGAACCAUGUCCCGAUUGCUGAAGAGCCCUUUCAGAGCACAGAUGUUGCUACAGCACUCUGGUAACUUAUGGCUGUCACAAGAUAUUGCUAAUAUUUCUUGCAUGAGAAAAUAAUAACAUUUGAAAGUUGCACCUUGCCUUCUCCAGCAUAGAACAGUGCUUUUCUAGUCCUUUAAUUCUCUCCCUCAGUGUUUCACUGAAAUCUUUCUCCAUCAAUUCCCCAAUCAAAACACUUCAUCACCUGCACUGGGUGCAGUGGUUGCCCAUGCUGAUACCAGCCAGCACCUGAUGUGACUGCUGCAAUGUCAAUAGUGAAAUAUCAGAGGAUUCUGCCCUACACCACCUCUUCAACCAGCAUUUCUGGCUUUAAACAGCUGUAAUGAACCAGAGAACCAGAACAGCUUACUUUUCUUUGCCCUCUGAAACACAGUUUUUACCUAGGUUUCCACUUAUGGGUAGAAAGACAGUGCUCAGCACUUCUCUCAUCAGUCUUAAAUACAUCCCGAACAGACAGAGUGGAAAAUUGUCUUAAACCCUUUGGCAUCCACUUGCUGUCAGUUGCAUGUCAAGUCAGGAAUAAAAACUGGCAACUGGCUGUAGAUUUCACAGUUAUGCAGCAGGAUUUGUGGAGCUGAAUUUGCAGUUCAGUUCUUGGCUUCAGCUGUCACACCAUGUUCCUCCAGUGAUGAGCAUUCAUGCCACAGUGAGGCAUUAGAGUUGUCAGAUAUCCAGAGCUUACAGAAAUAACUUCAUUUUUGAAUGGACUGUCUCUUCUGGUAUGAAUAAUCAGACAGAACAACAUAUAAAAUAUUUGACAUGUACUAGGAGUCCAUACAGUCUCUGAUGCAUAAAAAUAUUUGGACUAUUUCAAACUCCAUUUAAUGCUUUUCCAGAAUAGUUUUGCAGAAUAGUUAAUUAUGAGUUCUAGAAUUAAGCCAUGCAAUCCUUCUUUCGUUAUGGUUUAAUGCUAUUUCUUUUAAUGGAGAUUGUGAAAGCCAUUGAUCAAAUACUUCUCAGGGACCUCAAUAUAAUGCAAGAAUUAACUAAAUGUUAACAGAGGACAAGGUAUUAAAGCUUUGCUAUUGAUAGUUAUUCCCAAGGCUCAACUACAAUUUGGCAGUACAAGUAGAUCAGAACUAUCUUUCCUAUCUAUAUUGCAGACAAGUAGCCAUUUAUCCUUGCAGUUAUACCAAACUCUGGUAGUUUGGCACAGAAUCGCAUUGCUUGUGUAGUCCAGAAGAGUCAUGAAGUACAAACAAAGCUGCACUGCUUUGGCUGAAGUUCCACCCAACAGUGGGUAAAGAGGAGCAUGCAGGCUUGGUCACUGCGUGUGACCCACCUGCAUCUUCCUAAGCACCUGCAAUUCUUGUACUAAGGAUUUUGGAGCUUCCCAGCCUAUUCCCUUUAGCAUCUGAGUUUAGGCUUGUUCGUGAAGUUGUCUAACUCAUUCCAAACUGCUGAUGCCACCUGCCUCUAUAACAAACUGUGACAACAAAUUCCAGAUCUUCUGCUCUAAAUUAUUUUAAGCCACUCCCAUUUGUAUGAGUGACUGCUCAUUCUAGUAUUGUGGGAUUUGGUGGCCACCAGUUUUGUGCUUGCCUUAUCCACAGCUUCAUGAUUUUGUAACUCUCAAUCAUGUCUCAGCCAAGGAGAUCACUGCAGCAUUUUCAGGAGGAGCCAUUACAACACACAACCUUAUUUUGCAAAAAAACCCCAAUAAAAUAAAAUUGCAAGACUCAUCUUCAAAUAUAAAAUAUGACAAGGGAAACAGCAUUAGUCAUAGUAGACACAAUGACUUGUCAGCAACAGCUAUGUGUUACUGUCAAACUGAGAUCACGCUCUCUUAUUCCAGCUCAGCUUAUACAUUUGAAAGGGGAGCGCGCACCUACUUCAGAGCAGGAAAUGCUUUAAAAUUCUGGGAUGAAAUCCCAGUGCCACUGAAAUAAUAAUAAUUAAAAAAAAUAAAACCCAAGAUUUAUUUUUAAAGGUACCUUGUGUAAAGUACAAGAAAACAGUAUUGCUUGUUCAACACAAACUUCUGUUUGUGUGCCAACUUUAGGCAAAAAGUUAUGGGCACAUGUUUAAAUACAUUCCCUUGGUUCAUUUUUCUGUCUAGCUCGCUAAUAAACUCUACAGGUGAUUCACGUGCGAUGCCUUGAUCUUCUUUCAAUUAUUUAAAUAUAAAAGUAUUCCA